UCUCCGUUGGUGAACCAGCGGAGGGAUCAUUACCGAGUUUACAAACUCCCAAACCCUUUGUGAACCUUACCAUAUUGUUGCUUCGGCGGGACCGCCCCGGCGCCUUCGGGCCCGGAACUAGGCGCCCGCCGGAGGCCCCAAACUCUUAUGUCUUUAGUGGUUUUCUCCUCUGAGUGACACAUAAACAAAUAAAUAAAAACUUUCAACAACGGAUCUCUUGGUUCUG
Molecule: unclassified non-coding RNA, 226 nt
Filed under: root metagenome
Description: partial contains small subunit ribosomal RNA, internal transcribed spacer 1, and 5.8S ribosomal RNA
Source: RNAcentral